This 440-nucleotide ribosomal RNA is filed under the name uncultured bacterium. RNAcentral describes it as "partial 16S ribosomal RNA". It matches the Rfam family "Bacterial small subunit ribosomal RNA", at positions 338 to 795 of the family's 1533-position model. The record is from RNAcentral.
CCUACGGGUGGCAGCAGUGGGGAAUAUUGCACAAUGGGGGAAACCCUGAUGCAGCGACGCCGCGUGAGUGAAGAAGUAAUUCGUUAUGUAAAGCUCUAUCAGCAGGGAAGAAAAGGACGGUACCUGAGUAAGAAGGCACGGCUAACAACGUGCCAGCAGCCGCGGUAAGACGGAGGGGGCAAGCGUUCUCCGGAGUUACGGGGUGUAAAGGGAGCGUAGACGGCAGUGCAAGUCUGGCGUGGACGGCGGGGGCUCCACCCCCGGCCUGCUCGGGAAACUGUCCGGCUGGAGUGCAGGAGCGGUACGUGGACUUCCUCGUGUAGCGGUGCAAUGCUUCGAUAUUAGGAGGAACUCCAGUUGCGAAGGCGGCUUACUGGACUGUAACUGCCGUUGAUGCUCGAAAGCGUGGGUAUCAAACAGGAUUAGCUACCCGUGUAGUC